This is a long non-coding RNA of Mesocricetus auratus (golden hamster), 345 nucleotides long. RefSeq lists it as uncharacterized. The record is from RefSeq and is a predicted model, not a curated record. NCBI's taxonomy places the organism in Eukaryota, Metazoa, Chordata, Mammalia, Rodentia, Cricetidae. The transcript has 3 exons.
UGCCACUGUUUUGUGUGGACCUGCCUGUAACUGAGGAUGGAAUAAACCACGGUUCUGCUUAUUUGCUCUUCAAACUGGCAAUUUUUCUUAUGGGCCCAGCUACAUCUAUUUCCACUUCUCUCUCUUUCUGACACUGUGAGAGGCAGCCCUAGGGAGGAGGUCUGCAGGUCCCUGAGCUCACUUCUUCUAACUCAUGGAUUUGAAGUUUGCAUUUUCUUCAGCAACAAGAACUUACCUUCAGAUCCUGAAGAGCUACCAAGAAAAGUCUCUUGGACGGCCCUAGUCAACAACUCAAAAGGAACCUUCAUCCAGUGACUGAUGGAAGCAGAGGCAAACACCCACAGU